Molecule: transfer RNA, 73 nt
Filed under: Paludibacteraceae bacterium
Lineage: Bacteria; Pseudomonadati; Bacteroidota; Bacteroidia; Bacteroidales; Paludibacteraceae
Description: tRNA-Phe
Rfam family: tRNA
About the family: Transfer RNA (tRNA) molecules are approximately 80 nucleotides in length. Their secondary structure includes four short double-helical elements and three loops (D, anti-codon, and T loops).
Source: RNAcentral
GGUGCCAUAGCUAAGUUGGUAGAGCAAAGGACUGAAAAUCCUUGUGUCCCCGGUUCGAUUCCUGGUGGCACCA